UCUCUGGAGAAUCCCGGACAGACCGGGUGCCGAAGGGGCAAGGCUCCCCUGCCGCACGAAGCGGCAGAAGGGCGACCGAAACUCUCAGGCAAAAGGACAGAGCGUA
RNAcentral lists this non-coding RNA (106 nucleotides) under chicken gut metagenome. Its description in RNAcentral is "Glycine riboswitch". It matches the Rfam family "Glycine riboswitch aptamer", at positions 9 to 86 of the family's 94-position model. From Rfam's summary of the family: This family represents the bacterial glycine riboswitch. The record is from RNAcentral.